RNAcentral lists this ribosomal RNA (430 nucleotides) under Acidobacteriota bacterium. Its description in RNAcentral is "Acidobacteria bacterium partial 16S ribosomal RNA". It matches the Rfam family "Bacterial small subunit ribosomal RNA", at positions 355 to 776 of the family's 1533-position model. The record is from RNAcentral. Lineage: Bacteria; Pseudomonadati; Acidobacteriota.
UGUGGAAUAUUGGACAAUGGGCGCAAGCCUGAUCCAGCCAUGCCGCGUGUGUGAAGAAGGCCUUUUGGUUGUAAAGCACUUUAAGCGAGGAGGAGGCUACUUGGAUUAAUACUCUAGGAUAGUGGACGUUACUCGCAGAAUAAGCACCGGCUAACUCUGUGCCAGCAGCCGCGGUAAUACAGAGGGUGCGAGCGUUAAUCGGAUUUACUGGGCGUAAAGCGUGCGUAGGCGGCUUUUUAAGUCGGAUGUGAAAUCCCUGAGCUUAACUUAGGAAUUGCAUUCGAUACUGGGAAGCUAGAGUAUGGGAGAGGAUGGUAGAAUUCCAGGUGUAGCGGUGAAAUGCGUAGAGAUCUGGAGGAAUACCGAUGGCGAAGGCAGCCAUCUGGCCUAAUACUGACGCUGAGGUACGAAAGCAUGGGGAGCAAACAGG